AGAUCUCUGGAUAAACAGUCUUAUAAGGCCUUGGCUACACUUGCGAGUUAGAGCGUAUUAAAGGAGCCCCGGUCACCCUAGCUCACUACCCGUCCACACUAGCAAGGCAUGUAGAGUGCUCUGACUCCACGGAAAGAGCG
Chelonia mydas (Green sea turtle) is the source of this 140-nucleotide long non-coding RNA. RefSeq lists it as uncharacterized. Lineage: Eukaryota; Metazoa; Chordata; Testudines; Cheloniidae. The record is from RefSeq and is a predicted model, not a curated record. The transcript is spliced from 3 exons.